GACGAACGCUGGCGGCGUGCUUAACACAUGCAAGUCGAACGGAAAGGCCCUGCUUUUGUGGGGUUCUCGAGUGGCGAACGGGUGAGUAACACGUGAGUAACCUGCCCUUGACUUUGGUAUAACUUCAGGAAACUGGGGCUAAUAUCGUAUAGGAGCUCCUGCUGCAUGGUGGGGGUUGGAACGUCUCGGCGGGUGGGGUUGGACGCGCGGCUUAGGAGCUUGUUGGUGGGGUAGUGGCUUACCAAGGCUUUGACGGGUAGCCGGCCUGGGAGGGUGACCGGCCCCAGAGGGCUUGGGGAAGGGCCAGGAGGCAAAAGGGGGGCAGGGGCGGGAGAUAUAGCCAGAUGGACGGAGGCGGGGAGGAGGAACGCCGCGUGGGGAAUGCCGGCUUUCGGGUUGUAAACGGCUUUGGCCUGUACCGAGGUGUGAGGAAGGUAAAUGGAUAAAAAGGAACGGCUUAAUUAGGU
Molecule: ribosomal RNA, 467 nt
Filed under: uncultured bacterium
Lineage: Bacteria
Description: partial 16S ribosomal RNA
Rfam family: Bacterial small subunit ribosomal RNA
Source: RNAcentral